AUUGAACGCUGGCGGCAGGCCUAACACAUGCAAGUCGAGCGGAUGAAGGGAGCUUGCUCCUGGAUUCAGCGGCGGACGGGUGAGUAAUGCCUAGGAAUCUGCCUGGUAGUGGGGGAUAACGUCCGGAAACGGGCGCUAAUACCGCCUACGUCCUGAGGGAGAAAGUGGGGGAUCUUCGGACCUCACGCUAUCAGAUGAGCCUAGGUCGGAUUAGCUAGUUGGUGGGGUAAAGGCCGACCAAGGCGACGAUCCGUAACUGGUCUGAGAGGAUGAUCAGUCACACUGGAACUGAGACACGGUCCAGACGCCUACGGGAGGCAGCAGUGGGGAAUAUUGGACAAUGGGCGAAAGCCUUAUCCAGCCAGGCCGCGUGUGUGAAGAAGGUCUUCGGAUUGUAAAGCACUUUAAGUUGGGAGGAAGGGCAGUAAGUUAAUACCUUGCUGUUUUGACGUUACCAACAGAAUAAGCACCGGCUAACUUCGUG
RNAcentral lists this ribosomal RNA (484 nucleotides) under uncultured bacterium. RNAcentral describes it as "partial 16S ribosomal RNA". It matches the Rfam family "Bacterial small subunit ribosomal RNA", at positions 30 to 507 of the family's 1533-position model. The record is from RNAcentral.